CANCUGCAGUCGAGCGGUAGAGAGAAGCUUGCUUCUCUUGAGAGCGGCGGACGGGUGAGUAAUGCCUAGGAAUCUGCCUGGUAGUGGGGGAUAACGUUCGGAAACGGACGCUAAUACCGCAUACGUCCUACGGGAGAAAGCAGGGGACCUUCGGGCCUUGCGCUAUCAGAUGAGCCUAGGUCGGAUUAGCUAGUUGGUGAGGUAAUGGCUCACCAAGGCGACGAUCCGUAACUGGUCUGAGAGGAUGAUCAGUCACACUGGAACUGAGACACGGUCCAGACUCCUACGGGAGGCAGCAGUGGGGAAUAUUGGACAAUGGGCGAAAGCCUGAUCCAGCCAUGCCGCGUGUGUGAAGAAGGUCUUCGGAUUGUAAAGCACUUUAAGUUGGGAGGAAGGGCAGUUACCUAAUACGUGAUUGUUUUGACGUUACCGACAGAAUAAGCACCGGCUAACUCUGUGCCAGCAGCCGCGGUAAUACAGAGGGUGCAAGCGUUAAUCGGAAUUACUGGGCGUAAAGCGCGCGUAGGUGGUUAGUUAAGUUGGAUGUGAAAUCCCCGGGCUCAACCUGGGAACUGCAUUCAAAACUGACUGACUAGAGUAUGGUAGAG
This 608-nucleotide ribosomal RNA is filed under the name bacterium amp-w-76. RNAcentral's name for it is "bacterial SSU rRNA". It matches the Rfam family "Bacterial small subunit ribosomal RNA", at positions 52 to 656 of the family's 1533-position model. The record is from RNAcentral.